RNAcentral lists this ribosomal RNA (465 nucleotides) under uncultured Klebsiella sp. RNAcentral describes it as "bacterial SSU rRNA". It matches the Rfam family "Bacterial small subunit ribosomal RNA", at positions 338 to 795 of the family's 1533-position model. Lineage: Bacteria; Pseudomonadati; Pseudomonadota; Gammaproteobacteria; Enterobacterales; Enterobacteriaceae. The record is from RNAcentral.
CCUACGGGAGGCAGCAGUGGGGAAUAUUGCACAAUGGGCGCAAGCCUGAUGCAGCCAUGCCGCGUGUGUGAAGAAGGCCUUCGGGUUGUAAAGCACUUUCAGCGGGGAGGAAGGCGGUGAGGUUAAUAACCUCAUCGAUUGACGUUACCCGCAGAAGAAGCACCGGCUAACUCCGUGCCAGCAGCCGCGGUAAUACGGAGGGUGCAAGCGUUAAUCGGAAUUACUGGGCGUAAAGCGCACGCAGGCGGUCUGUCAAGUCGGAUGUGAAAUCCCCGGGCUCAACCUGGGAACUGCAUUCGAAACUGGCAGGCUAGAGUCUUGUAGAGGGGGGUAGAAUUCCAGGUGGAGCGGUGAAAUGCAUAGAGAUCUGGAGGAAUACCGGUGGCGAAGGCGGCCCCCUGGACAAAGACUGACGCUCAGGUGCGAAAGCGUGGGGAGCAAACAGGAUUAGAUACCCGAGUAGUC